RNAcentral lists this ribosomal RNA (173 nucleotides) under uncultured Cellulosibacter sp. RNAcentral's name for it is "partial 16S ribosomal RNA". It matches the Rfam family "Bacterial small subunit ribosomal RNA", at positions 338 to 522 of the family's 1533-position model. The record is from RNAcentral. Lineage: Bacteria; Bacillati; Bacillota; Clostridia; Eubacteriales; Oscillospiraceae.
CCUACGGGGUGCAGCAGUGGGCGAAUAUUGCGCAAUGGGGUGGAACCCUGACGCAGCGACGCCGCGUGAAGGAAGAAGGCCUUCGNGUUGUAAACUUCUUUGAUGAGGGACGAAGGAAAGUGACGGUACCUCAAAAACAAGCCACGNCUAACUACGUGCCAGCCGCCGCGGUA